This 440-nucleotide ribosomal RNA is filed under the name uncultured bacterium. RNAcentral describes it as "partial 16S ribosomal RNA". It matches the Rfam family "Bacterial small subunit ribosomal RNA", at positions 338 to 795 of the family's 1533-position model. The record is from RNAcentral.
CCUACGGGUGGCAGCAGUAGGGAAUAUUGCUCAAUGGGGGAAACCCUGAAGCAGCAACGCCGCGUGGAGGAAGAAGGUUUUCGGAUUGUAAACCCCUUUUGUUAGAGAAGAUAAUGACGGUAUCUAACGAAUAAGCACCGGCUAACUCCGUGCCAGCAGCCGGGGUUAUACGGAGGGUGCAAGGGUUAAUCGGAAUCACUGGGCGUAAAGAGCGCGUAGGCGGGGUAGCAAGUCAGAUGUGAAAUCCUAUGGCCUAACCAUAGAACUGCAUUUGAAACUGUUAUUCUAGAGUGUGGGAGAGGUAGGUGGAAUUCUUGGUGUAGGGGUAAAAUCCGUAGAGAUCAAGAGGAAUACUGAUUGCGAAGGCGACCUGCUGGAACAUGACUGACGCUGAUGCGCGAAAGCGUGGGGAGCGAACAGGAUUAGAUACCCGUGUAGUC